UGGGGGAUAUUGCACAAUGGGCGAAAGCCUGAUGCAGCGACGCCGCGUGGGGGAUGAAGGCCUUCGGGUUGUAAACUUCUUUUGCUCUGAACAAGGCAUGCUAAUGGGUGUGUUGAGUAUAGGGGUUGAUUAGCGCCGGCUAACUACGUGCCAGCAGCCGCGGUAAUACGUAGGGCGCGAGCGUUGUCCGGAAUUAUUGGGCGUAAAGGGCUUGUAGGUGGCUGGUUGCGUCUGUCGUGAAAGCUCAUGGCUUAACUGUGGGUUUGCGGUGGGUACGGGCUGGCUUGAGUGCAGUAGGGGAGGCUGGAAUUCCUGGUGUAGCGGUGGAAUGCGCAGAUAUCAGGAGGAAUACCGGUGGCGAAGGCGGGUCUCUGGGCUGUUACUGACACUGAGGAGCGAAAGCAUGGGGAGCGAACAGG
This 419-nucleotide ribosomal RNA is filed under the name bacterium. Its description in RNAcentral is "partial 16S ribosomal RNA". It matches the Rfam family "Bacterial small subunit ribosomal RNA", at positions 355 to 776 of the family's 1533-position model. The record is from RNAcentral.